GACGAACGCUGGCGGCGUGCUUAACACAUGCAAGUCGAACGGAAGGGCCCGGCUCUUGUGGGUUUCUCGUGUGGCGAACGGGGGAGUAACACGUGAGUAACCUGCCCUUGACUUUGGGAUAACUUCAGGAAACUGGGGCUAAUACCGGAUAGGAGCUUCUGCUGCAUGGUGGUGGUUGGAAAGUUUCGGCGGUUGGGGAUGGACUCGCGGCUUAUCCGCUUGUUUGGGGGGUAGUGGCUGUCCAGGGCUUUGACGGGUAGCCGGCCUGGGCGGGGGGCCGGGGACAAUGGGACUGAGAGAGGGACCAGACUGCUACGUGAGGCAGAAGGCGGGAAUAUUACGGAAUGAGGGCGAGUGUGUUGCAGAAGUCUCGCGAGCGGGAUGCCGGCUUUCGGGUGGUAAACAGAUUUGGAAGGUACUGAACAGAGAUUGACGGUAAUGAGUAAGAAAGCACCGGCUAACUACGUG
This 468-nucleotide ribosomal RNA is filed under the name uncultured bacterium. RNAcentral's name for it is "partial 16S ribosomal RNA". It matches the Rfam family "Bacterial small subunit ribosomal RNA", at positions 28 to 507 of the family's 1533-position model. The record is from RNAcentral.